This 253-nucleotide ribosomal RNA is filed under the name uncultured bacterium. Its description in RNAcentral is "partial 16S ribosomal RNA". It matches the Rfam family "Bacterial small subunit ribosomal RNA", at positions 524 to 776 of the family's 1533-position model. The record is from RNAcentral.
UACGUAGGGUGCGAGCGUUAAUCGGAAUUACUGGGCGUAAAGUGUGCGCAGGCGGUUUCGCAAGUCAAGUGUGAAAGCCCCGGGCUUAACCUGGGAACUGCGCUUGAAACUACGGAACUCGAGUAUGGCAGAGGAAGGUGGAAUUCCACGUGUAGCGGUGAAAUGCGUAGAGAUGUGGAGGAACGCCGAUGGCGAAGGCAGCCUUCUGGGCCAAUACUGACGCUCAUGCACGAAAGCGUGGGGAGCAAACAGG